RNAcentral lists this transfer RNA (65 nucleotides) under Nitrospira sp. Its description in RNAcentral is "tRNA-Ser". Lineage: Bacteria; Pseudomonadati; Nitrospirota; Nitrospiria; Nitrospirales; Nitrospiraceae. The record is from RNAcentral.
GCGGUGGCAGGGUAGCGGCCAGUUUUGAAAACUGGUCCCAGGUUCGAGUCCUGGUGGGCGCACCA